Molecule: transfer RNA, 74 nt
Filed under: Erysipelotrichia bacterium
Lineage: Bacteria; Bacillati; Bacillota; Erysipelotrichia
Description: tRNA-Gly
Rfam family: tRNA
About the family: Transfer RNA (tRNA) molecules are approximately 80 nucleotides in length. Their secondary structure includes four short double-helical elements and three loops (D, anti-codon, and T loops).
Source: RNAcentral
GCACAUGUAGUUCAGUGGUAGAACACCGGCUUCCCAAGCCGGAUAUGCGGGUUCAAUUCCCGUCAUGUGCUCCA